This 260-nucleotide ribosomal RNA is filed under the name uncultured bacterium. RNAcentral's name for it is "partial 16S ribosomal RNA". It matches the Rfam family "Bacterial small subunit ribosomal RNA", at positions 95 to 354 of the family's 1533-position model. The record is from RNAcentral.
UUGGCGGACGGGUGAGUAACGCGUGGGGCAACCUGCCUUACACAGGGGGAUAACACUUAGAAAUAGGUGCUAAAACCGCAUAAGCGCACAGCUUCGCAUGAAGCGGUGUGAAAAACUCCGGUGGUGUAAGAUGGACCCGCGUCUGAUUAGCUUGUUGGCGGGGUAACGGCCCACCAAGGCGACGAUCAGUAGCCGGCCUGAGAGGGCGGACGGCCACAUUGGGACUGAGACACGGCCCAGACUCCUACGGAAGGCAGCAG